CGUAGGUGGCAAGCGUUGUCCGGAUUUAUUGGGUUUAAAGGGUGCGUAGGCGGCCUAUUAAGUCAGUUCUGAAAUAUCCCGGCUUAACCGGGAGGGUGGGAUUGAUACUGAUGGGCUUGAGUGGAGUCGAGGUAGGCGGAAUUGACGGUGUAGCGGUGAAAUGCUUAGAUAUCGUCAAGAACACCGAUAGUGUAGACAGCUUACUAGACUUCAACUGACGCUGAGGCACGAAAGUGUGGGGAUCAAACAGGAUUAGAUACCCUGGUAGUCCACACUGUAAACGUUGAUUACUCGCUGUGUGCGAUAUACAGUACGCGGCUUAGCGAAAGCGAUAAGUAAUCCACCUGGGGAGUACGCCGGCAACGGUG
RNAcentral lists this ribosomal RNA (368 nucleotides) under uncultured organism. Its description in RNAcentral is "bacterial SSU rRNA". It matches the Rfam family "Bacterial small subunit ribosomal RNA", at positions 526 to 896 of the family's 1533-position model. The record is from RNAcentral.